GCGGCACCUGAUGCGAAGUUUUCUGAUGGUUACUUGGACUUAGUCGUGAUAAAGGACUGUCCAAAGUUAACGUUGCUAUCAUUGAUGACCGAGUUGAACAAAGGCAGCCAUGUAAAAUCACCACAUGUCUUGUACUUCAAGGUUAAAGCGUUUGUUCUGGAGCCUGGCACACAGUUAGAUGAUGGAUCUAAAGAAGGGAUUAUAGAU
RNAcentral lists this unclassified non-coding RNA (207 nucleotides) under Hevea brasiliensis (rubber tree). The record is from RNAcentral. Lineage: Eukaryota; Viridiplantae; Streptophyta; Magnoliopsida; Malpighiales; Euphorbiaceae.